ACGCUCGCAACUGUGGAAUCAUAGGCGUGAAAUGCUUCAGUGUGUCCAUCAAAGCCCGUGUCAUCGAGCAGAAACUAGCCUUGCUCAACCAAAUUGCACCUGUCAGCGAUGCACGGCGAGGGCACUCGGAAUCUGGCGUUUGCUCCAUUGCGAAGCAUGCAAUGUUGAGAGAAAAGGGGAGACUGCACCGGAGGAAAGCGAAGCAUGGUAGCAGGUCUGAAGAUGAGAGCAUGAUGUUCUCUUUUAGCAAAGGAUCCAUGUGUCUAUUUUUCAUCCCGUUGUAAUGCACGGGGACCUUUGAUUUGAUUUAGUUUUAUCUUCUACUGUACAUAGGGAAAUAUGGACACUAAAUAUCCAUUUCUUAGGUGUCAACCUGGUACAUUAGGCUGUAUAGUACAUGGCAGAGUUUUUCCAGCUACUAAUUCAGGUAAUCUGAUUCAUGUCACUUUGCUUUAAGCAUAGUUAACUAACAGCAAGGACAUUGCCAUAUAUGAAUGAAUGAACAAAAAAAGGAGGUACAGUAAUGAUUUCACAUAUACACUUCCCCUACAACCUAUGUCGAGGGUACCUACUGUAAUGAUUUUGCAUAUGAACUUGCUAAAACUAGUACUGCUACCUUGAGUUUGUCAAAGAAUAAUGCCACUAAAUUGCCAGCCAUUUUGGAUCUGUCAUCUUUUUCCCCACUAGGGUGCUCCCUUAAAAUUUACUACUUUAGAGACAUGAGGAUCCUCAAGUUAACACACUUGAUUCUUACUGCUGCUUAUGCAUCCCUGAACUUCAGUUAUUAUGAUUAUCUGGAUAUUUCCUAUACUUUAUCAAGUUUAGGGUUCUUAAAAUAAGGACAAACAUUUGUUUCACCUUUUGUACUUCAUCAUAAUAGCAUAUGAUUUUUAAAAAUGGCAAAUUGCCAAGUACAGUUCUGAGGUGGAGAGUUACUUAUGUAUUUUUUAUUCAUGAAUGACAUGAUCAAGGAGUCAGGUGUGAAAAUGCUUUAUAAAUCAGAUGAGACAACAUGCUAAAAUUUUGUGGUGAUUAGUGAAGGAAAGAACUAUGUACUCUUGUUUCAAGUAGACUUCAUCGCCUUAUUGUUAGAGUUAGCUUCACCUCCCACUGUUAUAUUUUUGACGUGAAUAUCAAUGCCCCCCCCACCCACACUUAUGUUGUUGAAAAUAGCAACCGCUUGAUCUUUGAUAGCAUGCAGUUGCCUAUCUACAAAUCAUAAAUGAACAAAUAAAAUGUACUUAUAUAUCCAAAUGUUGUGUAUCCUGCUUGUAGAAUUUGUUCCUAUUUAUCCUUUUUUAAUUUUUACAUAUGGGCAUCUAGUGUUUGCGGCAUCUCAAAGUUUACCUUUUUAUAUUGAUAUAUUGUACAUGGCGGAAUUUUGGGUUGUGCCUCAAAGUUUUCCCUUUUACAAGUAUAUACUGUGUAUUUUGCUGAUGCUUUGUUGCUGAGAUAUAUUCUAAGUGAUAAUCAUACAUUUCAUGUUUUCUCCUCUAUCUUAGGAGAGGAAUGAAAAUAUGGUUAGAUCCUAAAUAUGAUAUUAUGCAGCAUGACCAAAAUAUCACAUCUUAUUAAUCCCUUUCUCUUGGCAGUGUGCUACAUCUGGUCGCUCAAGGCCAAGGAUGUGAUGAAAGGCUUCUUGAUAAGUUUUUAGCUGUCUCAUUCAAAUCCAUAUAGAUUGCGAGAUGAUGGCAUAGUAUUAUCUGACAUUUUAU
This 1715-nucleotide long non-coding RNA is filed under the name Triticum aestivum (bread wheat). Its description in RNAcentral is "long non-coding RNA (TAES_LNC002924)". Lineage: Eukaryota; Viridiplantae; Streptophyta; Magnoliopsida; Poales; Poaceae. The record is from RNAcentral.